Molecule: transfer RNA, 76 nt
Filed under: Bacteroidota bacterium
Lineage: Bacteria; Pseudomonadati; Bacteroidota
Description: Bacteroidetes bacterium (hydrocarbon metagenome) tRNA-Met
Rfam family: tRNA
About the family: Transfer RNA (tRNA) molecules are approximately 80 nucleotides in length. Their secondary structure includes four short double-helical elements and three loops (D, anti-codon, and T loops).
Source: RNAcentral
CGCGGAGAGGAGCAAUUGGUCGCUCGUCGGGCUCAUAACCCGAAGGUUGCAGGUUCGAGUCCUGUCUCCGCUACAA